AGGGAUGUAGCGCAGUUUGGUAGCGCAUUUGUUUUGGGUACAAAGUGUCGCAGGUUCGAAUCCUGUCAUCCCUA
This 74-nucleotide transfer RNA is filed under the name Pleurozia subinflata. RNAcentral describes it as "tRNA-Pro". It matches the Rfam family "tRNA". From Rfam's summary of the family: Transfer RNA (tRNA) molecules are approximately 80 nucleotides in length. Their secondary structure includes four short double-helical elements and three loops (D, anti-codon, and T loops). Lineage: Eukaryota; Viridiplantae; Streptophyta; Jungermanniopsida; Pleuroziales; Pleuroziaceae. The record is from RNAcentral.